AACGAACGCUGGCGGCAUGCCUAACACAUGCAAGUCGAACGAGACCUUCGGGUCUAGUGGCGCACGGGUGCGUAACGCGUGGGAACCUGCCCUUAGGUUCGGAAUAACUCCCCGAAAGGGGUGCUAAUACCGGAUAAUGUCUUCGGACCAAAGAUUUAUCGCCUUUGGAUGGGCCCGCGUUGGAUUAGCUAGUUGGUAGGGUAAAAGCCUACCAAGGCGACGAUCCAUAGCUGGUCUGAGAGGAUGAUCAGCCACACUGGGACUGAGACACGGCCCAGACUCCUACGGGAGGCAGCAGGGGGGAAUAUUGGAAAAGGGGCGAAAGCCUGAUCCAGAAAGGCCGGGGGAGUGAGGAAGGCCUUGGGGUUGAAAAGCUUUUUUACCCGGGAUGAUAAUGACAGUCCCGGGAGAAUAAGCCCCGGCUAACCCCGU
This 432-nucleotide ribosomal RNA is filed under the name uncultured bacterium. RNAcentral describes it as "partial 16S ribosomal RNA". It matches the Rfam family "Bacterial small subunit ribosomal RNA", at positions 29 to 506 of the family's 1533-position model. The record is from RNAcentral.